UCCGGUGGCUAUAGCGGAAAGGAAACACCCGUUCCCAUCCCGAACACGGAAGUUAAGCUCUCCAGCGCCGAUGGUACUGCAGGUUUCCUGUGGGAGAGUAGGACGCUGCCGGGA
Molecule: ribosomal RNA, 114 nt
Filed under: Deltaproteobacteria bacterium
Lineage: Bacteria; Pseudomonadati; Myxococcota; Myxococcia
Source: RNAcentral